RNAcentral lists this ribosomal RNA (305 nucleotides) under uncultured bacterium. RNAcentral's name for it is "partial 16S ribosomal RNA". It matches the Rfam family "Bacterial small subunit ribosomal RNA", at positions 508 to 807 of the family's 1533-position model. The record is from RNAcentral.
ACAGCAGUCGCCGCGGUAAUACGAAGGGUGCAAGCGUUAAUCGGAAUUACUGGGCGUAAAGCGUGCGUAGGCGGUUUGUUAAGUCUGUUGUGAAAUCCCCGGGCUCAACCUGGGAAUGGCAAUGGAUACUGGCAAGCUAGAGUGUGUCAGAGGAUGGUGGAAUUCCCGGUGUAGCGGUGAAAUGCGUAGAGAUCGGGAGGAACAUCAGUGGCGAAGGCGGCCAUCUGGGACAACACUGACGCUGAGGCACGAAAGCGUGGGGAGCAAACAGGAUUAGAUACCCCUGUAGUCCCUGUCUCUUAUAC